AGAGUUUGAUCAUGGCUCAGAUUGAACGCUGGCGGCAUGCUUUACACAUGCAAGUCGAACGGUAACAGGUCUUCGGAUGCUGACGAGUGGCGAACGGGUGAGUAAUGCAUCGGAACGUGCCCGGUCGUGGGGGAUAACGCAGCGAAAGCUGUGCUAAUACCGCAUACGAUCUAUGGAUGAAAGCGGGGGAUCGCAAGACCUCGCGCGAUUGGAGCGGCCGAUGUCAGAUUAGCUAGUUGGUGGGGUAAAGGCCCACCAAGGCGACGAUCUGUAGCUGGUCUGAGAGGACGACCAGCCACACUGGGACUGAGACACGGCCCAGACUCCUACGGGAGGCAGCAGUGGGGAAUUUUGGACAAUGGGCGCAAGCCUGAUCCAGCAAUGCUGCGUGCAGGAAGAAGGCCUUCGGGUUGUAAACUGCUUUUGUACGGAACGAAAAGGUCUGGGUUAAUACCCUGGGCUCAUGACGGUACCGUAAGAAUAAGCACCGGCUAACUACGUGCCAGCAGCCGCGGUAAUACGUAGGGUGCAAGCGUUAAUCGGAAUUACUGGGCGUAAAGCGUGCGCAGGCGGUUUUGUAAGACAGGCGUGAAAUCCCCGGGCUCAACCUGGGAAUGGCGCUUGUGACUGCAAAGCUGGAGUGCGGCAGAGGGGGAUGGAAUUCCGCGUGUAGCAGUGAAAUGCGUAGAUAUGCGGAGGA
This 700-nucleotide ribosomal RNA is filed under the name uncultured bacterium. RNAcentral's name for it is "bacterial SSU rRNA". It matches the Rfam family "Bacterial small subunit ribosomal RNA", at positions 8 to 705 of the family's 1533-position model. The record is from RNAcentral.